GAGGAAAAAAAAAAAAAAAAAGAGGAGCUCGAAUUCUGGAGAAAAAUUCUGCUGCCAACUAGAAUUUGAAAUUGUAAGCUCACUUUUUCGCCAAAACCCAUUAUUCAAAGCCUGUACAGGCUCAUUCUUUAAUGUUUAAAAUAGACCAGGGUCGUCUCUUCUUUAAUCGACAAUAAUCUUGGAAUCUGACUUUUGCUAUUUUCCCUCUUUUCUUCACAUUCUCUGUUUUCAAGUUUUAAAUUGUAACUUUUUCUACUAUUUUAAUCAAGUUAUUUGUUUAUUGUUAUAUUUCUUUUGGCCAAAAACAGUAUACCAUUUUGCAGGAAAGAAAACAAAAAGAAAGAAAUCACGAAAAGAAAACUCGGCGGAAACAGCUCGUUUUUGGCUUCGAGUUUUAGCUUCAAUGGAAGCGAAGCACAUUUUCCCUUGCAUUUUUAUUAUGGGUUUGGCUUUAUUUCUCGUAAAUGCAGACCCAGUAGAGGAUAAGCGAGCUUUGCUUGAUUUUGUCAACAAUUUGCCUCACUCUCGAUCGCUCAACUGGAACGAGAGCUCGCCAGUUUGCAGCUACUGGACUGGAGUCACUUGCAGCAAAGAUGGGUCUCGUGUAAUAUCAGUUAGAUUGCCUGGUGUUGGAUUUCAGGGCCCUAUUCCGCCAAACACUCUUGGUCGUCUCUCGGCGUUGCAGAUUUUGAGCCUUAGAUCCAAUCUUAUUAGCGGCCAUUUUCCCUAUGAUUUCUCUAAUCUGAAGAAUUUGUCUUUCCUUUAUCUUCAAUACAACAACCUAUCUGGGCCACUGCCUGCUGAUUUCUCUGUUUGGAAUAAUCUCACCAUUGUUAAUUUGUCCAACAAUAGAUUUAAUGGGAGUAUUCCUCGUUCCCUUUCUAACUUGACUCAUCUUGCAGUUUUGAAUCUCGCAAACAAUUCACUUUCUGGUGAGAUCCCUGAUUUUAAUUUGCCCAGUUUGCAACAGAUAAACUUGUCUAACAAUGAUCUCACUGGCAGUGUACCCAAGUCAUUUACAAGAUUCCCCAACUCUGUGUUUUCUGGUAACAAUAUUUCAUUUGAAACUUCUGCUCCUCGCGUUCCGCCUGUUCCUACUCCUAGUACGGCGCCUAAUCCGAAAUCCAAGAAUUCUAGAGAGCUUGGUGAAACAGCACUGCUAGGGAUUGUAAUUGCUGCAUGUGUUCUGGGGUUUGUGGCAUUUGCUUUCUUGAUACAUGUUUGUUGCUCAAGAAAGAAGGGAAGGAAUGAGUUCUCAGACAAGUUGCAGAAGGGAGAAAUGUCGCCUGAGAAAGUGGUUUCAAGGACUCAGGAUGCUAAUAAUAGAUUGGUUUUCUUUGAGGGAUGUAACUAUGCCUUUGAUUUGGAGGAUUUAUUGAGGGCUUCAGCUGAGGUAUUGGGAAAGGGUACAUUUGGCAUGGCUUAUAAAGCGAUACUGGAGGAUGCAACCGCAGUGGUGGUAAAGAGGUUGAAGGAAGUAAGCGUCGGGAAGCGGGAUUUUGAGCAACAGAUGGAGGUUGUUGGAAGUAUUAAGCACGAGAAUGUGGUUGAGCUUAGGGCUUACUACUAUUCCAAAGAUGAGAAGCUGAUGGUGUAUGAUUAUUACAGUCAGGGGAGUGUUUCUGCUAUGCUGCAUGGUAUGUUUCUUUCUCCAAUAUCCAUCAAUUUUAUGCUUGAAUGCGUUUUAAUUAUCCUUUUGCUUGAUUAUUGAUUGUGAUAUCAAAGUAGACUCCAAGUGGGCAAAGCUGUACGGUUUUGAAAAAAUGUGGCUAUAAGAAUAGUAAACUGUCAAUUGCCAAAGGAGGAUUCAUGCAGCCAUUCCCAAUUUGUAGCUAAGACACUGAUUGCAUUGAGAAAUGAGAUUGCUAAGAAAUGAAAUAGGGUUUCCUAUAAGGGCUUAAUAAAUUUAUGCAGUUAAUGUCUGAAGCAUGUCUACUUGAGUCUAGUAAAAUUGUGGCAAAUAUGGCCCAAUGCCCCAACUGCUCUGCCAUGGCAAAUUUCUACUACGCGUACUGAGUGGUAGAUGCUUUAUUAGUCAAAUCCCAUAUUUCAUUGCCUUCUGCACUUUAAUCGGUCAGUAACUCAGUAUCCACAGCGCAGAGCAUUCUCUGAUGUAUCUGUAAUUUUGCAGGUAAAAGAGGGGGAGAACGGAUUUCCCUAGAUUGGGAUACCAGAAUGAAAAUUGCUUUAGGUGCAGCAAGAGGGAUAGCACGUAUCCAUGCAGAGAAUGGUGGGAAAUUUGUCCAUGGGAACAUCAAAUCCUCAAACAUAUUUCUCAACUCCAGAAGGUAUGGCUGUGUGUCUGAUAUUGGUUUGUCAACUAUAAUGAGCCCACUAGCCCCACCUAUAUCUCGUGCUGCUGGUUAUCGAGCCCCAGAAGUGACAGACACCAGGAAAGCAGCACAGCCUUCAGACAUCUACAGCUUUGGCGUGGUGUUACUUGAGCUUCUAACCGGAAAGUCCCCUAUUCAUACUACCGGCGGUGAUGAGAUUAUCCACUUGGUGAAGUGGGUUCAUUCAGUAGUUCGUGAGGAGUGGACAGCUGAAGUUUUUGAUGUGGAGCUAAUGAGAUAUCCAAAUAUUGAAGAAGAGAUGGUGGAGAUGUUGCAGAUAGCUUUGUCUUGUGUAGUGAGGAUGCCAGAUCAAAGACCUAAAAUGCCAGAAGUAGUGAAAAUGAUAGAAAAUGUCCGACGAGUGGACACCGAAAAUCGUCCAUCUUCUGAAAACAGAUCUGAAAGUUCUACACCUCCACCUCCGGCUUCUGACAGAGAAUCCUGACACCGCAAAAUUCAGGGGGGAAAAAAAAGCCAUUUGUCUAUGUUUUGUUUUUUUUUUUUAAUCUUUUUUCCACCCAGACUGCUCGUUUAUUUUCAUCUCAAUCCGAGGAACAACUUUUCUUUUAUUCAUUUUUCUCAGAUUCAAGUUUAACGUUAAAAUUUAUUAAUUUAAAUAAAUUAUUCUGAUAAAAAUUU
Molecule: unclassified non-coding RNA, 2972 nt
Filed under: Hevea brasiliensis (rubber tree)
Lineage: Eukaryota; Viridiplantae; Streptophyta; Magnoliopsida; Malpighiales; Euphorbiaceae
Source: RNAcentral